AGACAGCCAGGAUGUUGGCUUAGAAGCAGCCAUCAUUUAAAGAAAGCGUAAUAGCUCACUGGUCGAGUCGGCCUGCGCGGAAGAUGUAACGGGGCUAAACCAUGCACCGAAGCUGCGGCAGCGACACGUAUGUGUUGUUGGGUAGGGGAGCGUUCUGUAAGCCUGCGAAGGUGUGCUGUGAGGCAUGCUGGAGGUAUCAGAAGUGCGAAUGCUGACAUAAGUAACGAUAAAGCGGGUGAAAAGCCCGCUCGCCGG
This 255-nucleotide ribosomal RNA is filed under the name Cronobacter sakazakii. RNAcentral describes it as "partial 23S ribosomal RNA". It matches the Rfam family "Bacterial large subunit ribosomal RNA", at positions 1087 to 1340 of the family's 2925-position model. The record is from RNAcentral. Lineage: Bacteria; Pseudomonadati; Pseudomonadota; Gammaproteobacteria; Enterobacterales; Enterobacteriaceae.